Molecule: long non-coding RNA, 484 nt
Filed under: Cavia porcellus (domestic guinea pig)
Lineage: Eukaryota; Metazoa; Chordata; Mammalia; Rodentia; Caviidae
Description: lncRNA (ENSCPOG00000037613.1)
Source: RNAcentral
AUUUUCAUUGCAUUAUUGUUCUUUCUUUCUUUCUUAUUUUUUUUAGGCUAAAUGUUUCCAAAGAACAGCAGCUGAGUGUGGUGGGACCCACCCAGCCAUGUGUCCGGUAUUCACACACAUGGUCAAGUUUUGGAAAUGAGGCUGUACACACCGAGGCUGCUGUGCUGGUUAUGAAAGAAGGACUGGGUGCUGCGCCGUGUAUAGACAGACGCACAGCCCUGAGCGAGCGGCAGACAGUUCACAGAUGCUUCUCUGGAUGGAGCCAAUGGGAUGAUGAACCGGGAUGCCUACUCUCUAUCUUUUCUGUGGGGAGUCAUUCUGAUGGAAGGAAGUGCUCAGAUGGUAAAGUCCACCUGUGCCAAUAUGCACAGGGAUUCCAUGGAUCCUGCCGUCAGUAUGGUGAGUCGUGAGCAAGACCGUUUUAUUGUGAUUUGGGGCUGUCUCCCUUGCUUUCUUCGGACCAGCCAAUCUUGUUGAUUUAAAC